CAUCAUUUUCGAAAAGUAAACUAUGUCGUCAUGCUGAUGGGUGUCGUAUCGGCUCGGACAACCACUGGUGUACUGAUGUCUUCUGGGUUUGGCGGGUAUGAAACCGCGACGCCGCACGUAACUACACCGAGGUCCCCAUGUACUACACCACCAAGUCUCCAGAUUAUUACACCACAACUUCGCUGCCCCGAGCUACUACACCGAAUCCCCGAAAUAUGCCCGAACUACGCCAUCAAAGGGUCGAGCACUACACCGAGGCCCCUAAUUAUUACACCACUACAUAUCAUGGUCGUAUAAAAGGAGAGAAAAGGCGAUAGAUAUCAGUCGAAUGGUUAUCACCGACAUGGCAGCAACUGCAGUGCAGUAGGUGUAGUCGUCACCAACUGCAUUCUUCGUCGUACCACCAGUUUUGCAAUCAUGGCACGACGCCGCCGUCUUACUAUGCAACAAAAACAUACGACACGACCAGUUACUACACCGAGGCCCCCAAGUAC
Molecule: long non-coding RNA, 494 nt
Filed under: Daphnia pulicaria
Lineage: Eukaryota; Metazoa; Arthropoda; Branchiopoda; Diplostraca; Daphniidae
Description: uncharacterized LOC124327403, transcript variant X2
Source: RNAcentral